CCCUUAGAUGUUCUGGGCCGUACGCGCGCUACACUGUUCGACGCAGCGAGUCUUAACCUUGACCGAAAGGUUUGGGUAAUCUUCAGCAAAGUCGAACGUGAUGGGGAUCGAUCAUUGCAAUUAUUGAUCGUGAACGAGGAAUUCCUAGUAAGUGCAAGUCAUCAGCUUGCGCUGAUUACGUCCCUGCCCUUUGUACACACCGCCCGUCGCUACUACCGAUUGAAUGGUUUAGUGAGAUCUCUGGAUUGACGCUGGCUAGGGGGCGACCCUUGGCCAGGCUGUCGAGAAACUGCUCAAACUUGAUCAUUUAGAGGAAGUAAAAGUCGUAACA
Molecule: ribosomal RNA, 331 nt
Filed under: uncultured eukaryote
Lineage: Eukaryota
Description: partial 18S ribosomal RNA
Rfam family: Eukaryotic small subunit ribosomal RNA
Source: RNAcentral